RNAcentral lists this long non-coding RNA (215 nucleotides) under Panax ginseng (ginseng). RNAcentral's name for it is "long non-coding RNA (PGIN_LNC001747)". The record is from RNAcentral. Lineage: Eukaryota; Viridiplantae; Streptophyta; Magnoliopsida; Apiales; Araliaceae.
CAAAACAAUCCAAAUCCUAAUAACAAUAGGAACAAAUUAUUUUUAUCCUAAUAGAAAUUAUAAACAAUAACCCUAAUUUCUAUAAAGAAAUAACAUAUUAUUUUGAAAUGAAAAGCUAGUUAAUAUGCUUCCUAAUUACAAUAAAAUUGUAAAACUUUCUAGAACUCCAAACUCAACAAUUGCCGUAUAAUCCCUUGUGUUAAGUUAAAUUGCCG